CAUUGGAUGUGCUGAUAUCAGUAUUAUCCAUAGGCAUUUGUAGGUGUUUGAUUUAUACCAACUGAUGUUUGUGAGGUUUGUUGGUUUAUUUAUUUAUUGCCUCCUUAACAUGAAGAAGCCUCAAAUUAACACCUCUGACUUUUAUUUACCAUGUAGACAAGCUGGCACAACAGUAUGGUGAUUUAGCAGUUUUCUAAAUACUUUUCUUCUCCUUGAGAUAUCUGUGUAUUUUCGAGAAAAGGAGAAAACUUUGAUUCUUUCUUCCUCUGUUCAUACACUGCAGUAUUUGUGAAAGGAGAGAAGGCUAAUAAGGACUGUAAUGUGAAAAUGUUUGCUGGAAUGUAAUAUGCUCAGGUACAUGUUUCUGCUCUUCGAGUUAAAAAAAAAAAGACUAACAAAUAAAAGUAAUAGCAAAAUUAACAUUUCACAUUUCCAUUGUAACAGUAAAUUGGUAAUAUUCGCUUGUCCAAAAUGGGCAAUGAUCACAGUGAAAAUAUCUAAGUUGUUCCUUGCUCAGAUUAGUCUGAUAUUACCAUGAACAUGUUUAAAAUAAGCUUUCAUUAUCACCCUAGAGUAUUAUAUACAACAACAUUGUUUGAGUGAAUUAUGGAUUAUAAAUAUUUUUUUUUCCAUAAAAGUACUUUAAUGGGGCUAAAAAGAGAUGGAACUUGAAAAUUUAUUAUGCAGAUAUUUUUGAAAAUGUGAAUUGGUGAAUGUUAUUCAUGCCAAGAUUUUAUUUUACUCGCUGACUUCUGCAUUCUGUAUUGCCAUGGAAUAUAGUGACAUUUCACAAAUGAAGAAAAAUAAAAAAUGAUUGGUUGCACCAGGCAGAAACAUUUGACAAUAUGUAAGUCAUAUUUCAGAACAUUGAAAUUAAAAACACUAGAGAUAUUUACAUCAUCUGAAGAUUUAACGUUUGUAUAUGCAUAUUUUAUAUCAAGAUUAACCUUCAUGUUGAAAAAACAAAUUCAAAUGCAAUGUCUCUUGCCCAGAAUAUUCAUGCAAGUGGAAAUUCUUGAAAUUGGACUCAUUCUUUAUUUUCACAUUUUUAGCUUUCAUUGGUAUUAACUUUUGUCAUUCCGAACAAAUGCUUUUCCAACUGGGACAUUUAUACAUAGCUUCUUGACAGUUUUUCCAAGCCAAAUCUUGGCUACAUGUGCUGUAACGUAAUAUACUGUAAGUGUAAACACUUGUGUUUCCAUAAUACUUUGAGUAAUCCUGUGUAUUAAAAACUAUCUGGGCAGAAAAAAACAAUCAUUUUUGUUUUUUAAAUAUAUUAGCCAUUGAACAGACAUCUUUAUGAACAUUUAUUUAGUUUAACAGGUUUCUGUGAUGUUUUUUGUCUAAAUCUGCAGUUCUUAAUCUGAAAGAGCCUUUAGAAUAGACUAUGUGUUUUCUGUCCUUUAGGUAUCUUCGUGUAAUAGAUUUAGAUGACCCAACCCUAUUGAAUUUUGAAUUUUGUUAGUCUUCAAGAAUUACAGCUAGUUUCUCUCCUUCCUUAAAAUGGAAUAAGUCUUUUAAGUGAACAUAACUGCAUCUGUAUAAAUUCAGCAUAUAUGUUAUUCAUUUAAAUAUAUAAUUUAUAUUAUACUAUUUUACAACUUAGAAAAAUAUUUUAACAAAUCAUUGCCAAAAUUUGACCAUUUCCAUAAUAAGUUAGAUAUAGAUUUGGCAUUAGGAUCACAAGUUUGAUUAAUAUCUGGUGGGCUGACCCCAGCCAUCAGCCAAGCCCCUACCCUGCAGCCCACCAAGCAGGGUGAGGGAGAGAAUUGGAAAGGCAAAAGUGAGAGAAAAAACUCAUGAGAGUUUUUGAGAUACUUUAGUGAAGCAAGUAAAGGAGAGAACACCACCCCUACCCUUCACCUCCCAGUUUUAUUACUGAGUGUGAAAUGGCAUGGAGAAACCCUUUGGUCACUUUAGUCAGUUGGGGUCAGUUGUCCCAGCUAUGUCCCCCCUAUCCUCUAGCUUUGCUCACUGUGGGUGCAAAGUGAGAAUCAGAGAAGGCCUUGAUGCCAUGCAAGCACUUCUCAGACAUAGUUAAGACAUAAUAAAUAGUUAAGAUACCCUUUUUCAAAAUGUUCACUACCCUUUGUUGUUUCUAAGCAGGAAUCAGAACAUGCCUGACAUUCAUCAGCUUGGCUGAGUCCAUCACAAAACAUGAGCAGCUAAGAGUUGUCAUUUAAAAAAUGGGUGGAAGGAGAAGCCAAGGACCAGCUCUUGACUAAUUUGAUCUCCUCUUCUGUGUGACAGGAAGAAGCAGUGACAAGUCUCAUCUAAGUAACCUAUCCAGCUGGAGAAGGUAAAAUGGGUGGUAUGAAAGCCUUUGUCUGCAUAUUCCCAAAGAAAUGAAGAUAUGCGCAGAUACAAUCAUCCUUUUGCCAGAGCUGAGAAGUAUUAACACUAACAGUAUGGGGCAUUAUUGCUGAAAGCUCCUAUGGAUGGCACUGUGGCAAUUAACUGGAGCAAGGAUGUCAUAAUCUCUUGUACCAAACCACCAGAAAACUAAAGCAAAGACUCCAGUGAGCCUAGAGAUGGGAACGCUAAACUGAAGUGACUUUGGAAAGUGGUUAUUCUGGAAAAGAUGUCAACUGCCAAAAUAGACAAGAGAACAGGAGCUCUUGACUGACCUCCCUCUUUAGGGCACCAAUUCCCUUUCACAACCACUACAGUUUUAGUUACUUAAAAUACAUUUAAAAACAAACAAACAAAACAAACAAACAACAACAACAAAAAACAACGCAUCUUUAUGACCAAUAUUUUAAGUCAAGGUGGUUUGUGCUCUCAUUGCGGCUCAUGGUGACAGAAUUAAUUGCUUUGUUUAACACAGGCUUCUUUUAGGAGCUGGUAAGAGAAAAUGGAACAUUUCCAACUCUGAACAUAAGCUGUUGCUGUGUUAUGGGAAGGAGGAGUGGGCAGAGCUGAAAGAAGAGACAUUGAUAUUAGCUGGGAGAAAAAGGGAGAGGGCAGCAGAUGAGAAAGUCAUUAAGACCACAAACAAUAAGUGACUGGAAAGUGAAACAGCAGUGCCGGGAGCUACUAGGCAAUUACCUAUCAACCUCUAGGUGAGGGUUUACACCUUCAGUUUCUUGAGAUAAUCUCAUGUGCAGCCAGUGAGAGGAUAUUGAACCCCAUGAUCUCAGGGGAAAGCUGUGUCAUGAGGAGCCAGGGGCCUUCUUGGCAGUAUGAAGGGACUGGAGCAGGGGGCUGCAUUGCUGAUUCAGUCAUGAACACUUGCACUGCCUUGGGCAGA
This is a long non-coding RNA of Anas platyrhynchos (mallard), 3250 nucleotides long. RefSeq lists it as uncharacterized. The record is from RefSeq and is a predicted model, not a curated record. Lineage: Eukaryota; Metazoa; Chordata; Aves; Anseriformes; Anatidae.